AACGAACGCUGGCAGCAUGCCUAACACAUGCAAGUCGAACGAUUGCCUUCGGGUGAUAGUGGCGCACGGGUGCGUAACGCGUGGGAAUCUGCCCUUAGGUUCGGAAUAACAGCUGGAAACGGCUGCUAAUACCGGAUGAUAUCGCGAGAUCAAAGAUUUAUCGCCUGAGGAUGAGCCCGCGUUGGAUUAGGUAGUUGGUGGGGUAAAGGCCUACCAAGCCGACGAUCCAUAGCUGGUCUGAGAGGAUGAUCAGCCACACUGGGACUGAGACACGGCCCAGACUCCUACGGGAGGCAGCAGUGGGGAAUAUUGGACAAGGGGCGCAAGCCUGAUCAAGCAAUGCCGCGUGAGUGAUGAAGGCCGUAGGGUUGUAAAGCUCUUUUACACGGGAAGAUAAUGACUGUACCGGGAGAAUAAGCCCCGGCUAACUCCGUG
Molecule: ribosomal RNA, 435 nt
Filed under: uncultured bacterium
Lineage: Bacteria
Description: partial 16S ribosomal RNA
Rfam family: Bacterial small subunit ribosomal RNA
Source: RNAcentral